GGUCUAUGCUUUAAUUGCUCAACAAGAGAGACAAUUCUCUAUUGAGAACUCCCUUGUUCCUCGUGCUCUGCUUGUUGCAAAUGAAUGAACUCAUAAUCGAAGAAAUCAAUUUGGCAUCGACGGAAACAUCAAAUAUUAUAGCAAGAAAUGUUCCUUUUGUGGAAAGUUUGGGCACAUUGUUGAUGUAUACUACAAGAAGCAUGC
Molecule: long non-coding RNA, 204 nt
Filed under: Lupinus angustifolius (narrow-leaved blue lupine)
Lineage: Eukaryota; Viridiplantae; Streptophyta; Magnoliopsida; Fabales; Fabaceae
Description: long non-coding RNA (LANG_LNC003645)
Source: RNAcentral